CAGGCUCCAAUGACUGUCUGAGAGAGGGACCAACCCUCUCCUGGUCUCUCCAUGACAAUGAAGUUGCACAGACAGAGGAAGAAGACAGGGUGAAGAAGCAGCCGCACUGAUACAGGCACAGAGAUGUGACAGCAAGCUCAGAUCCGUAAGCAACAGUAACAAGUCAGACAGACUAUAAGAAGGGUCUGGCAAGAUGGAGAAGGAAA
This is a non-coding RNA of Coturnix japonica (Japanese quail), 206 nucleotides long. NCBI's taxonomy places the organism in Eukaryota, Metazoa, Chordata, Aves, Galliformes, Phasianidae. The record is from RefSeq and is a predicted model, not a curated record.